Molecule: ribosomal RNA, 506 nt
Filed under: uncultured bacterium
Lineage: Bacteria
Description: partial 16S ribosomal RNA
Rfam family: Bacterial small subunit ribosomal RNA
Source: RNAcentral
AGUGAACGCUGGCGGUAGGCCUAACACAUGCAAGUCGAACGGCAGCACAGGAGAGCUUGCUCUCUGGGUGGCGAGUGGCGGACGGGUGAGGAAUACAUCGGAAUCUACUCUGUCGUGGGGGAUAACGUAGGGAAACUUACGCUAAUACCGCAUACGACCUACGGGUGAAAGCCGGGGACCUUCGGGCCUUUCGCGAUCGAAUGAGCCGAUGUCGGCUUAGCUAGUUGGCGGGGUAAAGGCCCACCAAGGCGACGAUCCGUAGCUGGUCUGAGAGGAUGAUCAGCCACACUGGAACUGAGGCACGGUCCAGACUCCUACGGGAGGCAGCAGUGGGGAAUAUUGGACAAUGGGCGCAAGCCUGAUCCAGCCAUACCGCGUGGGUGAAGAAGGCCUUCGGGUUGUAAAGCCCUUUUGUUGGGAAAGAAAUCCAGCUGGCUAAUACCCGGUUGGGAUGACGGUACCCAAAGAAUAAGCACCGGCUAACUUCGUGCCAGCCGCCGCAGUAA